This 283-nucleotide long non-coding RNA is filed under the name Ananas comosus (pineapple). Its description in RNAcentral is "long non-coding RNA (ACOM_LNC029084)". Lineage: Eukaryota; Viridiplantae; Streptophyta; Magnoliopsida; Poales; Bromeliaceae. The record is from RNAcentral.
AAUACUUGAUAUAACAGUAAAAAAGAAGAAGCAAAAUAAAAGAAACUUCAGAUUCAUUAGAAGUUGCAGAAACAACAACACCAGAAAUUACAAUAGCCAUAAAUGCAAAAGAAGUAGAUGCAAGAACAUCAGCACUAAGAGAAGAAAAACUAAUAACAAAACAGGCAAUAUUAAGAAUCAAGCAGCAAUAACAGAGGAAUUAGUCGUGGGUCAAGUGCAAAAACGUAAAAAAUAAAAAAAUAAAAAAUAGUAAAAAUAAUAUAAAUGUAUUCGCUCAGAUAAU